GUGCCAUGGGGGGGCUCUUUAAGGUGCCAGGGGGUGUUUUGGGGUGCCAGGGGGAGCUCUGCAGAGGCUCUUUAGGAGUGCCAGGGUCUGUUCAAGGGUGCCAUGCCCUGACCCCGUGCCCCCCAUGCCCUGACCCGGUGCCCCCCGUGCCCUGACCCGGUGUCCCCGUGCCCACAGCGGCAGGACGUGGUGACGGUGGCAUCGCGGUUCAAGCAGCUCUAUGAGUGCCACCUGCCCCCCGCGGCCGUGGCACCGCCCCCGGGACCCCCCCGGGACCCCCGCGGGUACAACGGCUCCGGCGUGGCCGAGCUGCUGCGGCCCAUGGGCACCGCGCCCUGCCUGGUCAAGACCAAGGACUGGUGGACGUACGAGUUCUGCUACGGGCGCCACAUCCAGCAGUACCACCUGGAAGAGUCGGAGAUCAAGGGCGACUUGCUGGUGCUGGGCUAUUACCAGUCUGCCUUCGACUGGGACGACGAGGCUGCCAAGGUGGGUGUGCCCCCCGCCC
RNAcentral lists this long non-coding RNA (508 nucleotides) under Junco hyemalis (dark-eyed junco). RNAcentral describes it as "lncRNA (ENSJHYG00000002470.1)". Lineage: Eukaryota; Metazoa; Chordata; Aves; Passeriformes; Passerellidae. The record is from RNAcentral.